AGAUUCCUACUGAGACGGAUCCUCAUGCUGGUGUGACAUCCGAGUCCCCCUUUGACAACAUCCAGCAGAUUCCUACUGAGACGGAUCCUCAUGCUGGUGUGACAUCCGAGUCCCCCUUUGACAACAUCCAGCAGGUGAGAUGAAUUCUCCCGUCACAGACAUAACAGUUGUGACGUCUGACUGUCACACAGACAACAUUAAUAAGGCAAGUUGUCAACAAUUGAAUUACAUUUUUUCCCCAUUUGAAUGCCCAUCCAAACCAAGAACUAAGAUGGUACUAAGUAUCACGCCGUACCUAUAUUAAUAGCAUUAGUUGGAAGCAGAAUUUGGUUGAAACUUUGAGGGUAAUCGGUCAAAAAUGAAAAUGUCUGUCGGUGUAAAGCCCUCUUGGACCACCUUGUGUCCCAUUGAACAGCCAUUUAGCAGCUAGAUGGGUGCACACACUUAUGUCUGUUUUCAAGUAGAUCGAGAAUGCUGUCUGUUAUGCAUAAUAACGAUGAUGUUUUUUAUUGGUUUCACAACAUGGGACACCAUGUCACUUAUUCAUAAUAUUCCAUGACUUCAUCAUUUGAGGCAGACUGAGUUUUAAAGGUUAAUAAAAAUAAAUGACAACCAUGGCCAAUGGUAUUAAGCCAUAAUGGUCUAGAUAUAACAAUUUAAAUGAAAUGGGAUCAUGUCAAAGAAGUGCUAUCUUGUUAUAUGAUAUUGCAGAGAAUGCAUCAAGCUACACAUUGAAUCACUAGGAAAGAUACACGGCGCUACUUUGCAUGCUUCACAGUGCACCACACAUUACAUUGCCUCUCAUGAAACUAAUAUUUAAUUUUGUUGACUACCUAAACCUUUUAGUUAACGUAUAUGUAUGUAUGUAUAUAUCUGUCACAUCAACUAUAUUGAGCUUUAUUUUACAUUCUGCAGAGAUGAAGAGAAGCAGGCGACCUGUUGAGGAACCUCCAGGCACCUCAGAUGAUAUUGACUCCGCCGAAGAAGGCACAUCUAAAGGUAUGACGGGAAUAGUUUUUAACCAUCAAUUCUCUUUUGAUGCUAGUCAAUAGCAGCACUAUGUUUCCUUUUAAGUGUAAAGUUCAA
Pseudoliparis swirei is the source of this 1086-nucleotide long non-coding RNA. RefSeq lists it as uncharacterized. NCBI's taxonomy places the organism in Eukaryota, Metazoa, Chordata, Actinopteri, Perciformes, Liparidae. The transcript is spliced from 4 exons. The record is from RefSeq and is a predicted model, not a curated record.